RNAcentral lists this long non-coding RNA (200 nucleotides) under Panax ginseng (ginseng). RNAcentral describes it as "long non-coding RNA (PGIN_LNC005610)". The record is from RNAcentral. Lineage: Eukaryota; Viridiplantae; Streptophyta; Magnoliopsida; Apiales; Araliaceae.
UGUUCAGUUAGAGAUGUUUUUGCUUUGGUAUUCAAUUUUAUUUUAUGGAUAGUUUGGUUUAUUUUGUGGAUGCAUGUAAUCAAAUUCACAAUUCAAUAUAGUAGUAAUUUAUAUUGAAAAGUGAAUUUGAGAUGCAUAUAUGGAUAGUUUGGUUUAUAUUUUGUGGAUGUGGUAAUUUGAAACUGUAAACGAAUGGUAUU